RNA transcript from Lathyrus oleraceus (garden pea), 1633 nucleotides. It is a transcript of the gene named zinc finger BED domain-containing protein DAYSLEEPER-like, with no coding region annotated. NCBI's taxonomy places the organism in Eukaryota, Viridiplantae, Streptophyta, Magnoliopsida, Fabales, Fabaceae. The transcript is spliced from 7 exons. The record is from RefSeq and is a predicted model, not a curated record.
CGCUGGACAGAAUAAAGAAACCCAGCCCAAACCGACCAAACCAUGUGGCCCCUUAGACACCGGUUCGGGUGAGUCGGUUUUUCGGUUUGACGGUUUGAAUAAUCUUGGGUUCACAUGGGUUAAACCGGUCGGUUUAGGUUUGAAUUUAUGGACCCGAUGAUAUCCUAAACCGACCGGUUCAGUAGAAAUUAUGUUAUAGACCAUAAAUUCCUAAAUCAACCGGCCGGCCCAACCAAAACCAAGACUCUCUCUCAGUCUCAAAUCUCAAUUCAUUAGUUCCACUUCUUCGUGAGAUUCAUACGCACAAACAGCAACGUUACUCCGCUAGGGUUCAUCAUUCUCUCAGUUCGUGGUUUCAUCGUUUAACGAAGAACCGUCGCCGUCCAUUAUUCAACCACAAAUCACCACCGAUAUUGAUUUUGUGAAGGUGUUGUCGGUAAAUAUUGUUCCUACUCAGCUCGCCGAUAACUUCCGGAAUAAGAAGCCUGAGGUGCCAGCUAAUUGAUCAUAGCACGCAAUGGGAAGAAGAUAAAUUUGAGUUUGGGUUGCCUACUCAACAACACUGAAAAUUAUUGGUGCGCGUUGGUAUAUUAAAGGAUAUGAAGUAGAAUUCGAUUAUGGUUCCAGUCCCACAACUAUUGGUUUAGAGGUUAUUAAUAGGCCCACAACUCUUGUUGUGAAGAGAUUGAUCUUUGAGACAGUAACCUUGAGGUGGAAGUUGAAUCAUUCUCUUUCGGAGUAACAGCUUCAGAUGGAGCGCGGCAAAAGUAGCUUGCAAGGAGUUGGAGUUCCUAGCUUGCAAGGAGUUGGAGUUCCUAGCGGAGUUGUAGAUCAAGGAGUGAGUCAAGGUAAUGCCAUCACCUGUCAUUUUUAUACUGAGUGUUUGUUUAAUAAGUGAUACAUGUUAUGCUGUCAUUUUUAAAUGUAUGAAUUAUAGGAGCAGCUGCUGGUACUGCACUCCCUCCACUUCGAAAAAGGAAACUUAAUGCUAGUGGUAGUAGAAAAACUUCUACGGUUUGGGAAGAGUUUAACAUUUUACCGGAUGAGCCUGAACCUAUAGCCGCGUGUAAACACUGUCAUAAAAGGUACCGAUGUGACCCUAAAACACAUGGUACUUCUAACAUGCUAGCUCACUCGAAAGUGUGUUACAAAAACCCUGCCCUUUUGUUGAAAGACCCCAAUCAGACAAACCUUGUAAGCGGCGAGGGUGGGUUUUUAGUUCCAACUAGUCAAAGGUUUAAUGCUGCAGCCUGUAGGAAGGCCAUUAAUACCUUUGUUAUCCUUGAUGAACAUUCCUUUAGAGUGGUUGAGGGUGUUGGUUUUAAGCAAAUGUGUAAACAAUUGCAACCCCAAAUGGCUAUCCCUACUAGGAGGACCGUUGCUAGGGAUUGUUUUCAGCUUUACCUAGCUGAAAAGUCACGUCUUAAAGCCUUUUUUAAAUCUGAUUGUACUAGGGUUGCACUAACCACAGACUGUUGGACUUCGAUACAAAACCUUAGUUAUAUGGCCACCACUGCACACUUCAUUGACACUGCUUGGAAGUACCAAAAAAAAUUAUUAGUUUCUCUUUAGUUCCAAAUCACAAAGGUGAUACCAUUGGCAUGAAAGUCGAGGACGUUUUGAGGGAAUGGGG